Molecule: non-coding RNA, 73 nt
Organism: Stegodyphus mimosarum
Lineage: Eukaryota; Metazoa; Arthropoda; Arachnida; Araneae; Eresidae
Source: Rfam
GCCUUUGUAGUAUAGUGGUCAGCACGCUGGGCACGUAUUCCAGAGGUCCGUGGUUCGAGUCCCGGCGAAGGCG